CCUACGGGUGGCAACAGUGGGGAAUAUUGCACAAUGGGGGAAACCCUGAUGCAGCGACGCCGCGUGAAGGAUGAAGUAUUUCGGUAUGUAAACUUCUAUCAGCAGGGAAGAAAAUGACGGUACCUGACUAAGAAGCCCCGGCUAACUACGUGACAGCAGCCGCGGUAAUACGUAGGGGGCAAGCGUUAUCCGGAUUUACUGGGGGUAAAGGGAGCGUAGACGGUAUGGCAAGUCUGAUGUGAAAACCCGGGGCUCAACCCCGGGACUGCAUUGGAAACUGCCGAACUAGAGUGUCGGAGAGGCAAGUGGAAUUCCUAGUGUAGCGGUGAAAUGCGUAGAUAUUAGGAGGAACACCAGUGGCGAAGGCGGCCUGCUGGACGAUGACUGACGUUGAGGCUCGAAAGCGUGGGGAGCAAACAGGAUUAGAUACCCUUGUAGUC
This 440-nucleotide ribosomal RNA is filed under the name uncultured bacterium. RNAcentral describes it as "partial 16S ribosomal RNA". It matches the Rfam family "Bacterial small subunit ribosomal RNA", at positions 338 to 795 of the family's 1533-position model. The record is from RNAcentral.